This 702-nucleotide ribosomal RNA is filed under the name uncultured Bacteroidales bacterium. Its description in RNAcentral is "bacterial SSU rRNA". It matches the Rfam family "Bacterial small subunit ribosomal RNA", at positions 38 to 728 of the family's 1533-position model. The record is from RNAcentral. Lineage: Bacteria; Pseudomonadati; Bacteroidota; Bacteroidia; Bacteroidales.
AGCUACAGGCUUAACACAUGCAAGUCGAGGGGCAGCAUUUUAGUUUGCUUGCAAACUGAAGAUGGCGACCGGCGCACGGGUGAGUAACACGUAUCCAACCUGCCGAUAACUCCGGAAUAGCCUUUCGAAAGAAAGAUUAAUACCGGAUAGCAUACGAAUAUCGCAUGAUAUUUUUAUUAAAGAAUUUCGGUUAUCGAUGGGGAUGCGUUCCAUUAGUUUGUUGGCGGGGUAACGGCCCACCAAGACUACGAUGGAUAGGGGUUCUGAGAGGAAGGUCCCCCACGUUGGAACUGAGACACGGUCCAAACUCCUACGGGAGGCAGCAGUGAGGAAUAUUGGUCAAUGGGCGAGAGCCUGAACCAGCCAAGUAGCGUGAAGGAUGAAGGCUCUAUGGGUCGUAAACUUCUUUUAUAUGGGAAUAAAGUUUUCCACGUGUGGAAUUUUGUAUGUACCAUAUGAAUAAGGAUCGGCUAACUCCGUGCCAGCAGCCGCGGUAAUACGGAGGAUCCGAGCGUUAUCCGGAUUUAUUGGGUUUAAAGGGAGCGUAGGUGGAUUGUUAAGUCAGUUGUGAAAGUUUGCGGCUCAACCGUAAAAUUGCAGUUGAAACUGGCAGUCUUGAGUACAGUAGAGGUGGGCGGAAUUCGUGGUGUAGCGGUGAAAUGCUUAGAUAUCACGAAGAACUCCGAUUGCGAAGGCAGCUCA